RNAcentral lists this small RNA (414 nucleotides) under Pan troglodytes (chimpanzee). RNAcentral describes it as "processed transcript". Lineage: Eukaryota; Metazoa; Chordata; Mammalia; Primates; Hominidae. The record is from RNAcentral.
UUUAUUUGUUAACGCUGGCUGUGGAAACCCCAGUUCUUGGGGGGAGAAACAGGACUUUUUACAUACAAUAGGAGCUGCAAAAGCAAAAAGAAUAUCUUCUAAAGAUUUCUUUAUAUAUUUAAAAACCCACAACUAAAAAUGGAGGCAAAGCUGACAUGAACCUUUUGUCGUGGGACUUCAGGCCACAUUGGCUUGAAGGCAUUCGUUUCCUUCUGGGGUGGGGACGGGCCGUCAUGGCAGGCUUGUUCCCGUGGCUCUGAGCGAGGCCUCUUCCUGCUGGGCUCCCAGACUCCUGCAUCCAGGCCCGCACCUUCUCGGCUUCUGGUUUUUCUUUCUUUCUUUUUGGUAGAACACAACAUCUACCAUUCAGUUAAACCUUCUUUAUCUCCUCCUCUGGCAUCCAUUUUUCCAAAG